Long non-coding RNA from Centruroides sculpturatus (bark scorpion), 416 nucleotides. RefSeq lists it as uncharacterized. NCBI's taxonomy places the organism in Eukaryota, Metazoa, Arthropoda, Arachnida, Scorpiones, Buthidae. The transcript is spliced from 4 exons. The record is from RefSeq and is a predicted model, not a curated record.
UAUGUCAACAUUGGUACGGAUUAUAUUAAGUUUUGUUAUAUAAAUUUCUGUAUAAGUAAUCGAAAACAUUAUUUUACAGUAUUAUUCAGUUUUUAGCAAGAUGUCAGCAACCAGAUGGUGGAUUUGGAGGUGGACCUGGACAGCAGAGUCAUCUGGCACCCACAUAUGCUGCAGUCAAUGCUCUUUGUAUUCUUGGUACAGAAGAAGCUUAUGAAGUAAUUGAUAGGGAGAAACUCCAACAGUUUCUAUAUCAAAUGAAAAAUCCAGAUGGAUCAUUUUCUCUUCACAAAGACAGUGAAAUUGAUGUCAGGGGAGCUUACUGUGCUCUGGCCGUGGCGAGACUGACAAAUAUUUAUACUCCAGAAUUAUUUGAAGGAACAGCUGACUGGGUCAGUCGGUAAGUAAUUUUUCCAUCC